This 456-nucleotide ribosomal RNA is filed under the name uncultured bacterium. RNAcentral's name for it is "bacterial SSU rRNA". It matches the Rfam family "Bacterial small subunit ribosomal RNA", at positions 30 to 507 of the family's 1533-position model. The record is from RNAcentral.
AUUGAACGCUGGCGGAAUGCUUUACACAUGCAAGUCGAACGGCAGCACGGGGCAACCUGGUGGCGAGUGGCGAACGGGUGAGUAAUACAUCGGAACGUGCCCAAUCGUGGGGGAUAACGUAGCGAAAGUUACGCUAAUACCGCAUACGAUCUACGGAUGAAAGCGGGGGAUCGCAAGACCUCGCGCGAAUGGAGCGGCCGAUGUCAGAUUAGGUAGUUGGUGGGGUAAAGGCUCACCAAGCCAACGAUCUGUAGCUGGUCUGAGAGGACGACCAGCCACACUGGAACUGAGACACGGUCCAGACUCCUACGGGAGGCAGCAGUGGGGAAUUUUGGACAAUGGGCGCAAGCCUGAUCCAGCCAUUCCGCGUGCAGGAUGAAGGCCUUCGGUUGUAACCUCUGUCAUGGGGAAGAAGGAAGUGACGGUACCCAACGAGGAAGCCCUCGCUACUACGUG